This 24-nucleotide non-coding RNA is filed under the name Mus musculus (house mouse). Lineage: Eukaryota; Metazoa; Chordata; Mammalia; Rodentia; Muridae. The record is from RNAcentral.
UUGGUUCUAACAGUUGUCCUGGGC